RNAcentral lists this ribosomal RNA (600 nucleotides) under Rhodosporidiobolus colostri. RNAcentral's name for it is "eukaryotic LSU rRNA". It matches the Rfam family "Eukaryotic large subunit ribosomal RNA", at positions 47 to 644 of the family's 3401-position model. Lineage: Eukaryota; Fungi; Basidiomycota; Microbotryomycetes; Sporidiobolales; Sporidiobolaceae. The record is from RNAcentral.
UAAGCGGGGGAAAAGAAACUAACAAGGAUUCCCCUAGUAGCGGCGAGCGAAGCGGGAAGAGCUCAAAUUUGUAAUCUGGCGCUUUCAGCGUCCGAGUUGUAAUCUCUAGAAAUGUUUUCCGCGUUGCACCGCACACAAGUCUGUUGGAAUACAGCGGCACAGUGGUGAGACCCCCGUUCAUGGUGCGGAUGCGCAAUGCUUUGUGAUACAUUUUCGAAGAGUCGAGUUGUUUGGGAAUGCAGCUCAAAUUGGGUGGUAAAUUCCAUCUAAAGCUAAAUAUUGGCGAGAGACCGAUAGCGAACAAGUACCGUGAGGGAAAGAUGAAAAGCACUUUGGAAAGAGAGUUAACAGUACGUGAAAUUGUUGGAAGGGAAACGCUUGAAGUCAGACUUGCUGUUCGGAGUUCAGCCGCAAGGUGUACUCUCCGAGUUGCAGGCCAGCAUCAGUUUUUCGGGGUGGAAAAUCACGGUUUGAAGGUAGCAGUUUCGGCUGUGUUAUAGCUUUCCGUUGGAUACAUCCUGGGGGACUGAGGAACGCAGUGUGCUUUUAGCAGGGGUUUCGACCUCUUCACACUUAGGAUGCUGGUGGAAUGGCUUUAAA